AAAGGACACCAACAGGUGGGAGGCCGCUUUGGAGGGGGGCGCUCCUGGCGGGAUAGAAAAGGCCGAUCUGCAAGGCCUGUUGUGGGCACAAUCCACCGGGCCACAUACGGAGGAGGAUGGUCGACCGCAGGAUAGCUGAGGCGAAAGGGAGGAUGAAGUUCUCAGGGAGCUGAGGGGGAGUUUUGAGAUGAGUUUGGGCUUUUAAUGGGUGGGGAAGUGGGGGCAGCUUCAGGGACGAGGAGUAAGGCCAGUGUGAAGGCUGUUUUGUCAUUUCUACAAGGUUUUCUUUUUUUGUUAGGUUUACAUAAGAAGGGUUAAUAUUUAGCCUUUAGGGCGACAAGCUUCUUCUGUCGAGGCAAAGAUCUUCCAGAUUCAGAUGCUGCAGCACCAUGUGAGCGAGAUCAGGCGUCAGCCCAGCCGUUAAAUAUCUUCUGUUAAGUUUUUUUUUACGAUAGACACAGAGCCCCGACACCUCCGUCAGGUGAGGGUGGGAGGCCGAGGUGCGACACAGGAAAGCAACCGGGAAAUUCUCCCCCACGAGGCAUUUCUCGUGGCCAUUUGGUUUCGGAGCUAGAAGGCGCAGGGAGUGUGUAGAUCUGUCAAGGAGGUCACCAGUAGACAGUGUAGGAGACGCCGGCUGAGCCCGAGCGUGGCCUGAAGCUCGACUCCAGCUGCUCGCCACAAGAGAAAACUGCAGAGGUGGCGCAGCGGGGAUUCGUUCAAGCUGCUUGGGUUAAAAUGACUUGGCAUGGCUUAGGAAAGAGCACAGAUUGUGACCUUUGUGCGCUGGAAGUCAGAAUUCGCCUCGCCCUCCGCAGUUAUUUGAGUUCAGCAUCACCACAUUGGCACGACCCAUCAAAGAGCUGCACGGGGCGGGCUAUUACACAGCCUUGAUCGUCUGUUUUCUGGUAAGACCGAAGAGGACACCAUGGCCCAAAGAAGUCCAACUUCUAUAUCCUCUCUCAUUUCCUACUUUUCUCAUGUCCUCUGUACCCUGUAACCUUCGCUCCCUUCUCCCCCCCUCCUCCACCUCCUCCACCUCGUCCUCCUCCACCCCCCCACCUCUCUCUCGCUCUGGCUCUUGCAGCUGAAGCAACACGCCUUGCUGUGGCUGGUCAAACGGAACCAAGUCAGGUGUUUCUGUGAGGUUUGGUCCCCUUCAACCAGCUACUGCGUCGUGAAUUCAGUCAGCCAGCAGACACCGGCGUGGAAAUCAAAGGCACAGCGUACUUUUAAGAGGCGGUAGUCUGUUUCGAAUGAUAGAUCGUUUCUAUGCUUUGAGUGUCUCGCUGUUGGUUGUUUUUCCUGUAUGGCGAUGGAUGUUAAUAAAAGACUGAU
Long non-coding RNA from Acanthopagrus latus (yellowfin seabream), 1338 nucleotides. RefSeq lists it as uncharacterized. The record is from RefSeq and is a predicted model, not a curated record. The transcript is spliced from 3 exons. NCBI's taxonomy places the organism in Eukaryota, Metazoa, Chordata, Actinopteri, Spariformes, Sparidae.